UCAGACGAUGCGUCAUGCAUAUCAAUAAGCGGAGGAAAAGAAACUAACUAAGGAUUCCCCUCAGUAACGGCGAGUGAAGCGGGAAGAGCUCAAAUUUGAAAUCUUAAAGGGUUCUACCUUUACGAAUUGUAGUUUAAAGAAGUGUUUUCUGCUUAGAGUUUCGGUAAAAGUUCUUUGGAAUAGGACAUCAUAGAGGGUGAGAAUCCCGUAUUUGACCGUUAUUUCUAGCUUUGUGAUACACUUUCAAAGAGUCGGAUUGCUUUGGGAAUGCAGUCCAAAACUGGGAGGUAAAUUUCAUUCUAAGGCUAAAUAUUGGCGAGAGACCGAUAGCGAACAAGUACCGUGAGGGAAAGAUGAAAAGAACUUUGAAAAGAGAGUUAAACAGUACGUGAAAUUGUCAAAAGGGAAGCGUUUGACACCAGUGUUGUUUUCUCGAAAAUCAACCUUGUUAAGCUUCAUGUAUGUUUGUUUAGACCUAAUCAGCUAUCUUGCAUGUUCUAUUGUUUGCAGUGGUGCACUUUUCAGUUUACAGGUCAACAUCAGUUUUUUUACCGUAAAAAAGUUAAAGAAAGGUAGCUCAUGGCUCCGGUCGUGAGUGUUAUAGUCUUUUUCCUAUGCGGUAGGAGAGACUGAGGUCUGCACUGUAGGCUAUUUGGCUAGAUACUCAGGUGCUAUGUGAUACCAUUUCAUAAACAACUUGUUGAUUAUGUUUUGUCUAUUGCAUACUCGCUUGUACUAUCAUACCUACGCUUAGGAUGUUGACUGAUAUGUAGUCGU
RNAcentral lists this ribosomal RNA (777 nucleotides) under uncultured Neocallimastigales. Its description in RNAcentral is "partial large subunit ribosomal RNA". It matches the Rfam family "Eukaryotic large subunit ribosomal RNA", at positions 18 to 643 of the family's 3401-position model. The record is from RNAcentral. Lineage: Eukaryota; Fungi; Neocallimastigomycota; Neocallimastigomycetes; Neocallimastigales.